AACGAACGCUGGCGGCAGGCUUAACACAUGCAAGUCGAGCGCCCCGCAAGGGGAGCGGCAGACGGGUGAGUAACGCGUGGGAACGUACCCUUCGGUUCGGAAUAACUCAGGGAAACUUGGGCUAAUACCGGAUACGUCCGUGAGGAGAAAGAUUUAUCGCCGAAGGAUCGGCCCGCGUUGGAUUAGCUAGUUGGUGGGGUAAUGGCCUACCAAGGCGACGAUCCAUAGCUGGUCUGAGAGGAUGAUCAGCCACACUGGGACUGAGACACGGCCCAGACUCCUACGGGAGGCAGCAGUGGGGAAUAUUGGACAAUGGGCGAAAGCCUGAUCCAGCCAUGCCGCGUGAGUGAAGAAGGCCCUAGGGUUGUAAAGCUCUUUCAGUGGGGAAGAUAAUGACGGUACCCACAGAAGAAGCCCCGGGCUAACCUUCGUGCCAGCAGCCGCGGUAAU
This 450-nucleotide ribosomal RNA is filed under the name uncultured bacterium. RNAcentral describes it as "bacterial SSU rRNA". It matches the Rfam family "Bacterial small subunit ribosomal RNA", at positions 29 to 524 of the family's 1533-position model. The record is from RNAcentral.